AACGGCCGCGGUAUCCUAACCGUGCGAAGGUAGCGUAAUCACUUGUUCUUUAAAUGAGGACUAGUAUGAAUGGCACCACGAGGGUUAAGCUGUCUCCUUUUUCUAAUCAGUGAAACUAAUCUCCCCGUGAAGAAGCGGGGAUUAUAAUAUAAGACGAGAAGACCCUAUGGAGCUUAAAACAAAUUAACACCUGCUUCUACCUAUUUUCCUUCCUGAACUAAUACAUAAAAUAUAGCACCAUUGAUUAAUAGUUUUCGAUUGGGGUGAUCAUGGAGUAAAAAUUAACCUCCACGACGAAAAGGAGCACUUCCCUGAGCUAAAAGCUACAACUUUAGGCACUAAAAAAUUAACGCACUUUGACCCAAAUUUUUGAGCAACGAACCAAGUUACCCUAGGGAUAACAGCGCAAUCCAUUUCAAGAGCUCCUAUCGACAAAUGGGUUUACGACCUCGAUGUUGGAUCAGGGUAUCCCAGUGGUGCAGCCGCUACUAAAGGUUCGUUUGUUCAACGAUUAAAACCCUACGUGAUCUGAGUUCAGACCGGAGAAAUCCAGGUCAGUUUCUAUCUAUAAAGGGCUUUUUCUAGUACGAAAGGACCGAAAAAGCAUGGCCAAUGAUCAAUUAAGCCAUAUAAAUUACUUAUGUUUUCAACUCAACUAGAAACUAACCUACCAUAAACCUCAAAAAAAGAGAAGUUAACGUAGCAAAACCUGGCCCUGCAA
Molecule: ribosomal RNA, 721 nt
Filed under: Boana aff. albopunctata CM-2022
Lineage: Eukaryota; Metazoa; Chordata; Amphibia; Anura; Hylidae
Description: partial 16S ribosomal RNA
Rfam family: Bacterial large subunit ribosomal RNA
Source: RNAcentral